CCUACGGGAGGCAGCAGUGAGGAAUAUUGGUCAAUGGGCGAGAGCCUGAACCAGCCAAGUCGCGUGAAGGAUGACGGCCCUACGGGUUGUAAACUUCUUUUGUCAGGGAGCAAUUGGGUCCACGCGUGGGCUUAGCGAGAGUACCUGAAGAAACAGCAUCGGCUAACUCCGUGCCAGCAGCCGCGGUAAUACGGAGGGUGCGAGCGGUAUCCGGAUUUAUUGGGUUUAAAGGGUGCGUAGGCGGAAUAUGCAGGUAACGGGAAAAAUUCGGGGCUCAACCCCGUCGUGCCGUUGAAACUGAUGUUCUUGAGUGGGCGAGAAGUAUGCGGAAUGCGUGGUGUAGCGGUGAAAUGCAUAGAUAUCACGCAGAACUCCGAUUGCGAAGGCAGCAUACCGGCGCCCAACUGACGCUGAAGCACGAAAGCGUGGGUAUCGAACAGGAUUAGAUACCCUGGUAGUC
Molecule: ribosomal RNA, 460 nt
Filed under: uncultured bacterium
Lineage: Bacteria
Description: partial 16S ribosomal RNA
Rfam family: Bacterial small subunit ribosomal RNA
Source: RNAcentral